AUAUCAUAAAAGGACUUCCCAAGAAAAGGUAUAUGAAAGGUGAGCCUUGUGCAAUUUAGUUGAUGGUUAGAUUGGAUGCUUCCGGCGUGGACCAUAUUGACGACAAUGCAGAAACCUUUGCAGGACAUGGCAGCAUGCAGGCAGAGGCAGACAUGGUGCUGGGGACAGAUCUGAGAGGUCUACAUCUUGAUCCAUUGGCAUCAGAAGGAAGGAGACCGUGUUCCACACUGAUAAUAGCUCAAGCACAGUUCAAUUCAAAGCCCGCCCCACAGUGACAUACUUCCACAAACAAGCCACCAUCUACUCCAACAAGGGGACACCUCAUAAUAUUGCCACUUCCUACGGGCCAAGGAUUCAAAUACCCAAUUCUAUGGGGUCCAUAUCUACUCAAACCACCACCAGCACCAACCUGGAACAUAUAUGGGAAGUUGAAGUGAUGGUUACAAUACUCUUUGGAAGAGAACUGAAUGAGGGACCAUACAGUAUUAGAAUACACA
This is a long non-coding RNA of Mus caroli (Ryukyu mouse), 497 nucleotides long. RefSeq lists it as uncharacterized. NCBI's taxonomy places the organism in Eukaryota, Metazoa, Chordata, Mammalia, Rodentia, Muridae. The record is from RefSeq and is a predicted model, not a curated record.